Long non-coding RNA from Hibiscus syriacus, 177 nucleotides. RefSeq lists it as uncharacterized. The transcript is spliced from 3 exons. Lineage: Eukaryota; Viridiplantae; Streptophyta; Magnoliopsida; Malvales; Malvaceae. The record is from RefSeq and is a predicted model, not a curated record.
UACCAUCAGAUUGUUCUUUUUUUGGCAUAAAAUAUUGCAGAGUUCUUUUGGUUUAUGUUCUAAUGAUGUUGCUCAAGAGUAUGAAAGGAAAUGGAACACAAAACCCUCUGUUUUUAGUUAUUUAAUAAGGGAAAGCACAAAGCUGAUGCGUACAUUUUUUUCAUGUUCCUUGAAAAA